Molecule: ribosomal RNA, 495 nt
Filed under: uncultured bacterium
Lineage: Bacteria
Description: partial 16S ribosomal RNA
Rfam family: Bacterial small subunit ribosomal RNA
Source: RNAcentral
GAUGAACGCUGGCGGCGUGCUUAACACAUGCAAGUCGAGCGAAGCGAUUUUAAGGAAGCUUUCGGGUGGAAUUAAAAUUGACUGAGCGGCGGACGGGUGAGUAACGCGUGGGUAACCUGCCUCAUACAGGGGGAUAACAGUUAGAAAUGACUGCUAAUACCGCAUAAGCGCACAGUGCUGCAUAGCACAGUGUGAAAAACUCCGGUGGUAUGAGAUGGACCCGCGUCUGAUUAGGUAGUUGGUAGGGUAACGGCCUACCAAGCAGAAGAGAAGUAGCCAACCUGAGGGGGUGAGCGGCGACAUUGGGACUGAGACACGGCCCAAACUCCUACGGGGGGCGGCAGUGGGGAAUAUUGGACAAUGGGGGAAACCCUGAACCAGCGACGCCGCGUGAGUGAAGAAGUAUUUCGGUAUGUAAAGCUCUAUCAGCAGGGAAGAAAAUGACGGUACCUGACUAAGAAGCCCCGGCUAACUACGUGCCAGCCGCCGCAGUAA